Molecule: ribosomal RNA, 1225 nt
Filed under: metagenome
Description: bacterial LSU rRNA
Rfam family: Bacterial large subunit ribosomal RNA
Source: RNAcentral
GCAAAUUUACACCGUAACUUCGGGAGAAGGUGUGCCGCUGGCGGUUAGUGACUUCGCGUCACGAAGCUGUCGGUGGUCGCAGUGAAAUGGCGGUUGUGACUGUUUACUAAAAACACAGGACUCUGCGAAGUCGUAAGACGACGUAUAGGGUCUGAUGCCUGCCCGGUGCUGGAAGGUUAAGGGGAUAUGUCAGCGCAAGCGUAGCAUUGAACCGAAGCCCCAGUAAACGGCGGCCGUAACGAUAACGGUCCUAAGGUAGCGAAAUUCCUUGUCGGGCAAGUUCCGACCUGCACGAGGGCAUAACAACAUCCGCACUGUCUCGACCAGGGACUCAGCGAAAUUACAUUGGGGGUGAAGAUGCCCUCUACCCGCGGAAAGACGGAAAGACCCCAUGAACCUUUACUGCAACUUGGCAGUGAUUUUCGGGUUGUUCUGCGUAGGAUAGGUGGGAGGCUUUGAAGUCGGGCUUCCGGGUUCGACUGAGCCAACGUUGAAAUACCACCCUGAAUAAUCUGGAAAUCUAACCUGCGCCCAUGAUCUGGGCGAGGGACACUGCCUGGUGGGCAGUUUGACUGGGGCGGUCGCCUCCUAAAUUGCAACGGAGGCGUGCGACGGUUCCCUCAGGCUGAUUGGAAACCAGCCGUAGAGUGCAAACGCAUAAGGGAGCUUUACUGCGAGACUGACAAGUCGAACAGUUGCGAAAGCAGGUGUUAGUGAUCCGGUGGUACCACAUGGAAGGGCCAUCGCUCAUCGGAUAAAAGGUACUCUGGGGAUAACAGGCUGAUCGCGCCUGAGAGUUCACAUCGGCGGCGCGGUUUGGCACCUCGAUGUCGGCUCAUCGCAUCCUGGGGCUGGAGCAGGUCCCAAGGGUUUGGCUGUUCGCCAAUUAAAGCGGUACGCGAGCUGGGUUUAAAACGUCGUGAGACAGUUUGGUCCCUAUCUUCCGUGGGCGCAGGACACUUGAGAGGAGCUAUCCAUAGUACGAGAGGACCUGGAUGGACGAACCUCUGGUGCUCCGGUUGUCACGCCAGUGGCAUAGCCGGGUAGCCAUGUUCGGAACAGAUAACCGCUGAAGGCAUAUAAGCGGGAAGCUGGCCUCAAGACUAGGUGUCCCUGACGCAAGUCACUAAAGGCCCCUCGAAGACUACGAGGUUGAUAGGCUCGGUGUGUAAGCGCUGCAAGGCGCGGAGCUAACGAGUACUAAUAGGCCGUGCGACUUGACCUC